Molecule: long non-coding RNA, 462 nt
Filed under: Fukomys damarensis (Damara mole-rat)
Lineage: Eukaryota; Metazoa; Chordata; Mammalia; Rodentia; Bathyergidae
Description: lncRNA (ENSFDAG00000024320.1)
Source: RNAcentral
GGGAAAGGAGAAUAUUCUCCAUUCUGAAACUAUACUGGGGCUAUUACUUCCCAGUCUUCCCUCUGCUGCCAGCCUAUGCGCAGUAGGGUGUAGAAAGACUUGCAGCAACAUAAGACAUUUUCCUUUUGUUUGCAGAUCCAAGCAUCUGACUAAAAUGAGCUGGGAAAAGGGAGAAGAAGGACAAGACGAAAGAAGAGGAAGAAGAGGAUGAAAAGGAAAAGGACAGAGGAGUAGUCAUCAUUGCUAUUCCAUUAUUGGGUGCACCGGUGGCAACCAGGUUAACCAAUUCUGAAGUGCAGCCAGAUGGGAAUUAUGCACCUGGAAAGCUGGGAAUAGCCCUGAACUGUGGUGGAUUUGCCAGGACUAGCGUCACCUUGAGAGAUCCCUGGGAAGCCAGCCAACUCACUUUUCCUGGUGACAACCAGUCUUACAGAGUGAUUCUUAUUAUACUUCAAUAUCAAG